Perognathus longimembris pacificus (Pacific pocket mouse) is the source of this 755-nucleotide long non-coding RNA. RefSeq lists it as uncharacterized. NCBI's taxonomy places the organism in Eukaryota, Metazoa, Chordata, Mammalia, Rodentia, Heteromyidae. The record is from RefSeq and is a predicted model, not a curated record. The transcript has 3 exons.
AACCUCGCACCUCAGAUCUCAGCCUCCCGAGUAAUUGGGAUGCUGGGCAGGAGCCCUGGCUCCCGGCAAGCUCCUGGCUUUCACACCAAGUGUCCCCCCGGCCCCCAGGGAGGUUGUGGGAGAGCAGGACAGUGGGUCCUCUUGGCGCCCAGGUCUGACUGGACACCCACAGGGAAUUUCUAGAAGCCAGUGAGUGACCUCUGCCCCAGUGGCAGCAGAGACUGAGGAAAGGGAACCUGCUAGAAGCUCCCCCUCCCACUGCGGAAAGGGGGUCCCCUUGUAUGCUCAUCCCGUGUCAGGUGAGAUGCCAUUUUAGGGACCCCACCCCCGCCUCACGGACUAACAUUUGUAUCUCCUCACUUGCCUUCCGGUUUUAGCAGGGUUUGCCUGCCGUUCUAGAGUCUUCCCUUGCUGAUUUUUUAAAAAUCUUAUUUAUUUUUGAGACAAGAGUCUAGCUGCAGAGCCCAGGCUGGCCUUGAGCUCGUGAUCCUCCGACCUUUUCCCCUCCAGUGCUGGACCUACAGCAUGACACCAGAGCCGGGCUUGGCGUAACCCUAACCUGAGUCAUGUGCGCUGUCCCUGAGGUGGCCUGGGGGGACAUCAUGUCUUACUCAUCACCAGCAAAGGAAAAAAAAUGAUGCUUCCUGACCCCGACUCUUCUCAUUCUUUUGGGGUUCCAGGGAGAAAGCAUCUACUCUGCCAUCUUGCUGCCCCCCCCCCACCUCUGGUCAGUUCUCCAAAUAAAGGUGGUUAGA